This 87-nucleotide ribosomal RNA is filed under the name uncultured bacterium. RNAcentral describes it as "partial 16S ribosomal RNA". The record is from RNAcentral.
UAAAGCUCUGUGGCGGGACGAAUAAGGCUUGGCUAACAUCCAAGCUGAUGACGGUACCCGUUUAGCAAGCACCGGCUAACUCUGUGC